AGGACGAACGCUGGCGGCGUGCCUAAUACAUGCAAGUCGAACGGUCUUUCUAUGGAAGCUUGCUUCCACUGAGAAGAUAGUGGCGAACGGGUGAGUAACACGUGGGUAACCUGCCCAUAAGAGGGGGAUAACAUCCGGAAACGGGUGCUAAUACCGCAUAGUUUUCUUGAUCGCAUGAUCGGGAAAGGAAAGACGGCCUUUGUGCUGUCGCUUAUGGAUGGACCCGCGGCGUAUUAGUUAGUUGGUGAGGUAACGGCUCACCAAGACGAUGAUACGUAGCCGACCUGAGAGGGUGAUCGGCCACAUUGGGACUGAGACACGGCCCAAACUCCUACGGGAGGCAGCAGUAGGGAAUCUUCCGCAAUGGACGAAAGUCUGACGGAGCAACGCCGCGUGAGUGAAGAAGGUUUUUCCGGAUCGUAAAACUCUGUUGUCAGAGAAGAACAAGUUGGAGAGUAACUGCUCCAGCCUUGACGGUAUCUGACCAGAAAGCCACGGCUAACUACGUGCCAGCAGCAGC
Molecule: ribosomal RNA, 520 nt
Filed under: uncultured bacterium
Lineage: Bacteria
Description: bacterial SSU rRNA
Rfam family: Bacterial small subunit ribosomal RNA
Source: RNAcentral